AAAAAAAGGCUGGAGAGAUGGCUCAGAGGUUGAGCCAUGGUGGCCCAGGCCUGUAACCCCAGCACUUGGAAGGUGGAGUGGCCUUGUUUAACAUCUGCCAGUGAGGGCCAGGAGCAGGGCUCAGCAGUAGUGUCCCUGCAUGUUUGGCUACAUAACAAGACCCCUGUAUCUGGAACAGGUGAAAUGGCUCGGAGUAAAGGCACAAAGCCUGUGGAACUGACCUACACACAUGCAUGAUCAUACACAUACAGAAUACACAAAUGAAUGCAACAAAAAGUGAUUUAUUAUCAUUUGUUUUGUCUACAUAGUCCUGGCUAUCCUAGAACUUACUAUGGAGACCAAAUUAAAAAUAAAAUAAAAAUCUAAAAACGAAGUCAACAAAUAAAAGCUGAUCUGGGUUUGAUGGCUCACACUUUUAAUCCCAGCAUCCAAAGGCAGGCAGAUCUCUGUGAGUUCAAGAUCAACCUGACUUAAAAAUAAAUAGACAAAUAAAAGCUGAGGGGAGUCCAGCCCCAUGGAAAGAUCAGGACAUACUAGACAAAUGAGCAAAUUAUGAGACAUCGAUGACCAGGAAAGCUAGCUUGCUUUCUUUUUCUUUUUUCGAGACAGGGUUUCUCUGUGGUUUUGGAGCCUGUCCUGGAACUAGCUCUUGUAGACCAGGCUGGCUUUGAACUCACAGAGAUCCACGCCUGCCUCUGCCUCCCGAGCGCUGGGAUUAAAGGCGUGUGCCACCACCGCAUGGCAAAGCUAGUUCGUUUUUCAUUUUUUUUAAAUAUUUAUUUAUUUAUUAUGUAUACAAUAUUCUGUCUGUGUGUAUGCCUGCAGGCCAGAAGAGGGCACCAGACCCCCAUUACAGAUGGUUGUGAGCCACCAUGUGGUUGCUGGGAAUUGAACUCAGGACCUUUGGAAGAGCAGGCAGUGCUCUUAACCUCUGAGCCAUCUCUCCAGCCCCAUUGUUUUUCAUUUUUGGUAACUUUUAACUUUACUGGUGUGUGUGUGUGUAGUGUAUGUGCGCGUGUGCGCCAUCACGCAGGAGCCACACUGUGUGGACAUUAAAGGACUGUGCCGCUCCAUUUCCUUGGCUUGUGAAAGUUUCUUCAGACCCUGCAUUGGCACUUCUGCUCUGCACAGUCACUGUCAUAUCGUGUGUCAUCCCCUAGUGCCUGUGGAUCCCGGGGAUGAGACUCAGGUCUUUAGGACUGGCAGCGGGUACACUUACCUACUCAGCCCCCUUGCUGGCUCUGUUUCUUGCUUUUUGAAGAAGGAAAAUAAAAAUACAGAAAGGGAGCCAGAUCUGGUGGCACAUGUCUUUAAUCCCAGCACUUGGGAGGCAGAGACAGGCGGAUCUCUGUGAGUUGGAGGCCAGCCUGGUCUACAGAGCAAGUGCCAGGAAAGGCUCCAAAGUUACACUGAAAAACUGUGUCUUGAAAAACAAAAACAACAACAACAAAAACAAACCAAAAAACAGAAACAAAAAGAAAACAAAAGAAACAGAAAGGGGAAAGGUUAGGGUGACAUGUCACUCUGGACACCACUGAAAGAUGCAAACAAAUGUGUAAUCUAUGAAGACAAAUAACUGUACAGAUGUGAAAGUGGACAUUUGGCUGUGGAAAUGCACAUACCAAACAGCACCGAGCCCAUCUAACAGCCACCUCAUCAUGGUCUCUAGGUACAGUUGUCCUUGGAGAUACUGGCUCAAGAAUCUCUAGCACUAUCUAAUCAGAGGAUGCUAGGAUGUUCAAUCCCUUGUACAAAAGGGUAUUCUAUGGGCUCGGGGGUGUGGCUCAGUGGUAGAGCCCCACUGAAUCCCCCAGUGAGGAUAUGGAACAUGGCUGGGCAGCAGAACACUUGCCUAGCAUGUGCAAGUGCCUGUGCUCAUUCCUAACCUAGCACUGCACAAUGAGAUUUUAAAAAGAAAGGAAGAAAAAGAUGCUCAACGUCUCAAAAAUUCUUCCCUCCCCCAAAAUGGGACUGAACACCUCCGUCCGUCAGGUGACCGACACUAAUGUCACGGAUUCAAUUACACUGGGCAGCACCAGCAAACAGCCUCAUUUCUGGGCUGUUGUGGGGGAAGUGCAAAGGGAUGGUGUUAUCAAGAGGCAAGCCAGACUAACCCAAAGGAAGGGACAGUGUACCUGCCACGGCCAUGAAAAGUCACAGGCUACAGAUUACUUCAAGUUGAGAGCAGAGAGCUAAGGCAAAUGGGUUUGAUGUUUGAUAACAUAUUAGGUUUCUGUUCCUUUUUGGCUUUUCAAGACAGGGUUUCUCUGUGUAGCCCUGGCUGCCCUGCAACUUGCUCUGUAGACCAGGUUGGCCUUGAACUCAGAGAUCCACCUGUCUCUGCUUCCCGAAUACUGAGAACGAUGGGCACCAUCCCAGCACUUGGGAGGCAGAAACAGGGAGAUCUCUAAUUUUGAGACAGGCCUGAUCUACAGAGAGAGUUCCAGGGCAGCCAGGGCUACACAGAGAAGCCCUGUCUCAAAUCAAACAAGCAAAAUUCCCUCAUCUGGUCCUGCAUGCUUGGAGUAUACUAGAAAUAGCAUAGUGGAAGAUGGGUAUUCAAGAUAUUGGUAAGGAUGCCUUGGGAUUUUUUUUUUCCUUCUGAGGUAGGUUUAGAAUUCUGGGAACAGAUCAUGCCUGAAGGGCUAGCAAAGAAUCAAGCCUCAUGCUCAGCCUUGCAGUCUGGUCUUGGACCAAGCCAAGGUUGUCCUCUCCUUGGCUAUAGCAAGACAGGGUGGAGCGCCCCCUAGGGGCGAAGGAAGGUGAGACUUGGGAAAGGCCUGGGGCGUUCCAACGUGUGAGAGGGAGGUGUGCACUUGCUCCUUGCCCCAGACUGUCCUUCAGUAGGUGGAGUCUGCUAGGGAGUGCCUUGCCUGGAAGGGCAAAGGGCUCUGUCUUCUCUUAGUCACGACCAGCUGACGAGAGUCACCAGGCCACCUCUGUAGGGACACUGAAAGAACCCAGAAUCCCGAGCGGCUGGAGCACUGGGGGACACCCGGGCAGAGCCUUCCCUGGAGCAAGCCCUGUUGGAGCGGGAUGAAGCCAUUGCUAAGAAACGCGCAGUGGAAGCUGAGCUGCACUCCUGCAGAGAGAGACUGCGCACUGUGGAGGCUCAGCUGCUGGAAGCCCUGCAGGAGAAACUGAGGCUGAAGCAGGAAGUGGAGGCCUGGGAGGAAGACAUGCAGCAGGUGGUUCGAGAGAGAGUACAGAGUCAGUUGCAGGGAGAGUCCAGGGGCAUGCUGGGGACCCAAGCGAACACAAGCACCGGCAGGAACUCCCGGAUGCACCUCUCGCGGAGCCAGUGGGGACGAUGGUGG
Alexandromys fortis (reed vole) is the source of this 3317-nucleotide long non-coding RNA. RefSeq lists it as uncharacterized. Lineage: Eukaryota; Metazoa; Chordata; Mammalia; Rodentia; Cricetidae. The transcript is spliced from 4 exons. The record is from RefSeq and is a predicted model, not a curated record.